UGCUCGCUACGCCCUUGUGCCUUUAGUUGAAGUAUAGGUUGUCGAUUCAAUCUAUCUUGAUGGGAUUUUUCUAGUAGGUAGCGAGAAGACUAGUAGUAUCGACAAGAGGCUACAUCAAUAGCUGAAAGGCUACGCCCUUGUGCCUUUAGUUGAAGUAUAGGUCGUCGAUUCAAUCUAUCUUGAUGGGAUUUUUCUAGUAGGUAGCGAGAAGACUAGUAGUAUCGACAAGGGGCUACAUCAAUAGCUGAAACUUUUUUUCGGGUAGGGUAGGCUUGGAGUCAGAAGUCCUAUUCUUCCCAACCAAAUAAGCACUUUUGCAAAGUUCACCUUCCCGCGGUCAAAACAAGACUUACGGAUAACAAUCAGACCUUA
This 372-nucleotide long non-coding RNA is filed under the name Nicotiana benthamiana. RNAcentral's name for it is "long non-coding RNA (NBEN_LNC028033)". Lineage: Eukaryota; Viridiplantae; Streptophyta; Magnoliopsida; Solanales; Solanaceae. The record is from RNAcentral.